Non-coding RNA from Chrysemys picta bellii (western painted turtle), 4574 nucleotides. NCBI's taxonomy places the organism in Eukaryota, Metazoa, Chordata, Testudines, Emydidae. The record is from RefSeq and is a predicted model, not a curated record.
CACUAAGUGGCUUGGCAGUGCGUACAUUGCAGAAAGCUGCUUUACUGCGCAGUAAUUUGCCAGUGGAGACAAGGCCUUAGACCAUUAGUGUCUGUAAAGCACACUGAGAACCUCCGCUGGGGGCGGGAACGACGGAUGACAGGAAAUAAUUAAAGGACAGAAGGGUCUGUGUUUUAGAAGAUCCCAGCAGACUUCUGCCUGCUGCUGUGUUUCUUUCCCAUUAUUUAACCCUUGCAAAUCCCUGUUAUUCCAAAUAGUCUCUUUCUUAUUUAAAAGGAGAGAAAUUAGUUUCACAAACCUCCCAUGCAGAAAACUUUCACUUAUACUUCACUCAGUCCUGUCAGCUUCCUGGAAACCAUGGCUGGAAGGGUGGAGAGCAGGACGGGCGUUGGGCCGGAGAGCAGGUAAGCGGCCAGAGGCCUGUGAAACCGGCUGUCAGGGCUCCAGGGCCCCAGCUUUUCUACUCAGUUCAGGUUUUGUUUUAUCUCCUUCCUCCCAGACCCUCAAUGAUGUUAAUCCCUGUUUAUUAACGACACAUCGCCCUUUUGGAGUGUUUUUCAUCUGCAAAGAUAAUCAGUGGCAGCCUCUUAGAGCUGGAUAUUUCCUGCCUUAUUUUGAAUCAGAGACUUCAUACCUGCUGCUGUAAAUUGGCUGUGACUAACAAGUGUCACUUCGAGCCUCAGUUUCUCCUGCCCACUUUCAAAGGCCACCAGCUUCUGCUGUGAUUGAUCCAGACCCUUAGUCCCCCUGAUCAUUAUUAUCUGCAUAUGGGGAAACUGAGGCAGGAAAAUUAAGUGAUUUGUACAAGUCCACAGAAAAUGGCAGUCUGAGACACGAUUAACGCAAUUAGAAUAAACGAGUCCCUUCACUAAUACUAUUUGUGAUAAGUUUUAACUGAAUGUACAACAGUUUCUCACAACAGUGAAACUUGUGACAAUAUUGAUUUGCGGUUAGAGACGAGAGCUGUGAAUCAGGACUCCUGGGUUCUGCUCUUGGCUCUGUCACUGACUUGCUGCAUGGCUUUGGCCAAGUCACUUCACCUCAUUGUGGCCAGCAUGUACCUAGCAGCGAAAAGGCGGUAACAGCACUUCACUGUCUCACAGGGAUGUUGUGAGUGUGUGUGCUUUGAGAGCCUCAGGCAAGAGAUGCCAUAUGAAGACUAAGAAUAACAUUUUUAUUGGAGCUGGUCAGAAAAUGGUUCUUUCCCCCUUAGGAAAAAUGUCAAAUUUGCAGCAAAAAAUCAGUAUUUGAAAUAUUUUAGCCAAAACCUGGAAAUUUUCAAUUGUUUGCCUCGGGGAACACAGCUUGGAAAGAGCUUAAAGGAGAAGUCUGGAAAAAUCAACUCCUCUGCUUGCCCACCAAACAGUGGCCUCAAGCAAGCAGGGGAUUGUGAGUCUGAACUCCUGGUCUCUUCUCUCAGCUUGGGGCAGAGUGGUUAGAGCAGUGAGACUGGGAUUCAGGGCUGUUGUGUUAUACACAAUCUCUACUCCUGACUGGCUGUGUAACCCUGGGCAGCUUGUAUGAUACGCUACUUUGAAAGGACAACGUUCUAUGAAUUCCUAUCGAUGUUUGAAGAGACGUUUUUCCUCCACAGCCCGUGGGUGUGUGUGUGAGAGAGAGGAAUGUAUGUACAUCAGUGUUUGUGAAGCACUUGGCAACCCUUGGCUAGGACAGGGCAGUACUAGGCCAAUAAAUAAUAACAAUAAAGGACUGAAGCUUAAGAGAUGUCUCCGUUUUAGCAGCGCACAGUGGAUUCCAGCAGACCCGUAGCUAGUGAUGUGCCACUUGGCAUUUAAUGUUCAGAGCCUACUUCACCCUGGUAUUUCAAAAUGCAGCAGUUCUCGGUUUAUAAGGUUAGUUCCUUUCCUUCCCCCAGCUCCCCCACGGAACAGGAAACUGACUCAUACUUAUCCAGAUAAUCCUCUCCUGCCAGUUUCCGGAAAAGGAGGGCUGGUUAGUUUACAGCCAAACUUAUCAACGCAGCCAGAAGCUGCUAUUAGAGACACAGGAUGUACUGGUUUGUGAGACAGUCUGGCACUCUGGCCACGGAGAGUGGAGAGGCUGCAGGGUGGGGGGAUAUUUGGUACUUGUGCCGUUAUUUUUUAUUCAUGAACUCAGCCAGGAGCCACUCCUGGAAGCAAAGCCCUGUAGAAGAAAUGCCCCUGGUGGCAGAGCAGGGCAGACCCUGCAGGAAAUGCUGUUUGAACAGUCAUUGUGAUGUUCCAGGAAGCACAUCCACAUUUCUUUCCUGAGGAGUGACUUGUUGGAAGGAUGACGAUGCUCAUCUACUCAUCAGAGAAUCUGUGCAGCCUUCUGUGUGGCAGCUAGAGCCACGUGCAGGUUACCAACAUCCCUGAAUUGUGAGCACCACAACUGGACACACUAUUCCAGCAGCAGUCACACCAGUGCCAGAUACAGAGGUAAAAUAACCUCUCUACUCCUAUUCCAGAUUCCCCUGUUUAUACAUCCAAGGAUCGCAUUAUCUCUUCUGACCACAGUAUUGUACUAGGAGCUCAUGUUCAGCUGAUUAUCCACCACGACCCCCAAAUCUCUCUCCAAGUCACGGCUUUCCAGGAGAGAGGCCCCCACUGUAUGCACCCUACACUAUUCCUGUUUUCUUUUCCUCGCUUAUAACGUAACAUGAAAAAGAUACCAGCAGUUACUUACAGUAGAACGAUUUGCUUCAUAGCCGGUUGGUGGGGUAUAUUUUACCUUCGCACACGGUUUCUUACUGCUUGUUCCAAUUUUGCAUUAGGCCUGUCUACAUCUGAAAAUUAGAUGGAUCUAACGUCAGAGGUGAAAGUAAGCCGGUACGGUCAGGUACAGCGCACCGGCAAGAGCCAGUACGCCGUGCCGGACUGCACCGGCUUCCGUGGCGGGGAUUUAAAGGGCUCUGGGCUCCCCGCUGUGGCGGGGAGCCCAGAACCCUUUAAAUGCUGCCCGCAGCUCUGGCGGCCAGCUGGGGCCGGGAUUUAAAGGGCUCGGAGCUCCCGCUGCAGCGGGGAGCCCAGAGCCCUUUGAAUCCCGCCUGCAGCUCCGGCAGCCAGAGCUGUGGUGGGGAUUUAAAGGGCCCGGAGCUCCGCGGCGGCCGGAGCCCCGGUCCCUUUAUUUUGCCCCUGAGCUCCGGGGGCUCCCAGCCACCACUGCAGCUGGGAGCCCCGGGUUGAUUUAAAGGCCCGUGGGCUCACAGCCUCAGCCGGUGCCCUAGAGCCUUUAAAUCUUGAGAGGCCCCGCCUCUUCCGGUUGAGGCACCGCCUCUUCCGGACAAGGCCACACCCCCGCAGGACUCCGGCAGUACCGGUAAGUCCUGUAAGUUACUUUCACCCAUGUCUAACGUCAUCGCUCACAUCUAUAAAAAUGUUGUGCCGUGUGACAUAGUUAAGUUGAUCUAACCCCCCACUGUAGAUGCAGCAAGGUCAAUGGAAUAAUUCUACCAUUGACCUAGAUGCCACCUCUCAGAGAGAUGGUUAAUGACACUGAUGGAAACCCCCCUUCUGUCGAUGUAGGACGCAGCUACACACUAGCACGGUAGCUGAGUCGCUGUAACCACAGUAGUGUAGCCAGACCCUCAGUUCACAUGUCACUAGUAGCACUGACAGCAUGUGACAAGGUUACAUUGUGGGUAGAGCAGAGAACUAUGAAUCAGGACUAUUGGGUUCUCUUCUUGGUGCUGCCCCUUCCUGAGUGACUUUUGGACAAGUUAUUUCACCAUGUUGUGUCUCCAGGUUCCAUCUCCCUGUACAAGGAGGAGAACCGCCUUCAGUACUUUACAGGGGUCUGCUUGUGAAAACUAAAUUUUGAAAAAGUGCUUUGAGAUCCUUAGAGAAAAGUACCAUGUUAUAAAACCAAGUCAGGAGGGCAAUACCCAAGAGAAAGUGGCUGCCUCCGGGGAAUAAUCUCUGCUGUCCACACAGACUUGCACUUCAAUUAAUGGUGUCUGUUCAAAUUCAGCCCCAGUGCUAAGCGCAAGAAAAAUAUUUCCUUGAUUUUCUGUUGUUUAUAAAGUGCAGGAGAAAGUUGUAAUACACAACAAGAUCUUUCGUUCCCCUGAGUGCUCAAGGAGGAGUGAAAUGUUUCUACAAUUUAUUUUUAAUCCCAAUAAAAAUUCACCUACACUUUUUGUAACCACGAACAUCAAAGCAGGAACAACCUGAGAGUGAAACUGACUAAAAUCACUAAAAACAAGAGUGUUGCAGGCUGCUCCUUGGGCACGCUGACAGAGACGCAAACAACCCAUAAAGAGCUUAAUACAGUUCUGACUGGACUUCAUCUGUUCCCUCUAAGGCCACGUCAACACGUACAGAGCUGCAGUGGCGCAGCUGUACCAAUGCGCUGCAGUGCGUCUGAUGAAGAUGUUCUAUGCCGAUGUGAUGCUGUGUAUAAGAACGGUGACCAUUUAUAUCACUGUUGUUACCACUGUCACAAUUUCCAUGGAUCUUAUACAGUUUGUAUCAUGUAAGGUGUCAGUGGAAAAGUUGCUUCAAAAACUUCAAAAACAAACUUCAAAGAGAAACUGCAGAGCUACAAUUCAUUUGCAAACUUAACACCAUCAAUUUGGGCUUGAAUAGAGACUG